This is a long non-coding RNA of Aedes albopictus (Asian tiger mosquito), 253 nucleotides long. RefSeq lists it as uncharacterized. The record is from RefSeq and is a predicted model, not a curated record. Lineage: Eukaryota; Metazoa; Arthropoda; Insecta; Diptera; Culicidae. The transcript is spliced from 3 exons.
AGUUUUACGACGAAGAAAGAUAGUGUAGUCCAGUGUCCAGUUUUCUUCCCGUUUCGUGUAGUAAAUCCAAUAGAAAUUGAUGAACCAGAUUAUGUUGACAAGUUUUCACGCAAAGAUUGAACCUCCAGACGAAAAACGAAAAAUAUUCUUAACCCUUGAAAAAGAUGGCAUAGCCCAUUGAAACGUCGGGCGUAAGAAAGAUAUUUUCGUUUCAAUCGCUUAACAGACUGAAAGCCGAAAAAUCCCCUGUGAA